GGCAGGGUAGCUCAGCUGGUUAGAGCGCACGACUCAUAAUCGUGAGGUCGCGGGUUCAAGCCCCGCUCCUGCUACCA
This 77-nucleotide transfer RNA is filed under the name Microbacterium mitrae. RNAcentral's name for it is "tRNA-Met". It matches the Rfam family "tRNA". From Rfam's summary of the family: Transfer RNA (tRNA) molecules are approximately 80 nucleotides in length. Their secondary structure includes four short double-helical elements and three loops (D, anti-codon, and T loops). The record is from RNAcentral. RNAcentral also lists the same sequence under 3 other names. Lineage: Bacteria; Bacillati; Actinomycetota; Actinomycetes; Micrococcales; Microbacteriaceae.